CAAAUACUCCCUCCGUCCGGAAAUACUUGUCAUCAAAAUGGAUAAAAGGAAAUGUAUCUAGACGUAUUUUAGUUUUAGAUACAUCUCUUUUUAUCCAUUUUGAUGACAAGUAUUUUCGGACGGAGGGAGUAUUUA
This is a non-coding RNA of Triticum aestivum (bread wheat), 135 nucleotides long. NCBI's taxonomy places the organism in Eukaryota, Viridiplantae, Streptophyta, Magnoliopsida, Poales, Poaceae. The record is from Rfam.